UGGGUCUUGGAGUGAUCCUACUUGGGAGA
RNAcentral lists this non-coding RNA (29 nucleotides) under Rattus norvegicus (Norway rat). Lineage: Eukaryota; Metazoa; Chordata; Mammalia; Rodentia; Muridae. The record is from RNAcentral.